AGGUGCGAUCAUACCAGCACUAAUGCACCGGAUCCCAUCAGAACUCCGCAGUUAAGCGUGCUUGGGCGGGAGUAGUACUAGGAUGGAUGACUCCUGGGAAGUCCUUGUGUUUAACCUC
This 118-nucleotide ribosomal RNA is filed under the name Medicago truncatula (barrel medic). Lineage: Eukaryota; Viridiplantae; Streptophyta; Magnoliopsida; Fabales; Fabaceae. The record is from RNAcentral.